Molecule: long non-coding RNA, 282 nt
Filed under: Brassica napus (rape)
Lineage: Eukaryota; Viridiplantae; Streptophyta; Magnoliopsida; Brassicales; Brassicaceae
Description: long non-coding RNA (BNAP_LNC008902)
Source: RNAcentral
UUUUUUUAACGCUCAUUUAUUAUGAUCUUACAAUUAUGAUAUAGGAAAGAUUACAUAGACGAUUCGACAACUGACAAUUAUGAUAACCAUUUUUAUAAAUACUUUAAAUUUGUGAUAAAAAAUACUAAAAUAAUCUUUUCAAAUUAUUUAUAAAUGCUUAAAAAUUAUUUAUAAAAAUUUAUAAAUCCAACCAAUAAACUUAAAUUUAUAAAUCCAACCCUAAACAAUAAUCCACGAAUCUUAAAUGUCGAUAUUAUAAUAUUUUUGAUUGAAUGUAUUUUU